AGUGAACGCUGGCGGUAGGCCUAACACAUGCAAGUCGAACGGCAGCACAGUAAGAGCUUGCUCUUACGGGUGGCGAGUGGCGGACGGGUGAGGAAUACAUCGGAAUCUACUUUUUCGUGGGGGAUAACGUAGGGAAACUUACGCUAAUACCGCAUACGACCUACGGGUGAAAGCAGGGGAUCUUCGGACCUUGCGCGAUUGAAUGAGCCGAUGUCGGAUUAGCUAGUUGGCGGGGUAAAGGCCCACCAAGGCGACGAUCCGUAGCUGGUCUGAGAGGAUGAUCAGCCACACUGGAACUGAGACACGGUCCAGACUCCUACGGGAGGCAGCAGUGGGGAAUAUUGGACAAUGGGCGCAAGCCUGAUCCAGCCAUACCGCGUGGGUGAAGAAGGCCUUCGGGUUGUAAAGCCCUUUUGUUGGGAAAGAAAAGCAGCAGGUUAAGACCCCGCUGUUCUGACGGUACCCAAAGAAGAAGCACCGGCUAACUUCGU
This 491-nucleotide ribosomal RNA is filed under the name uncultured bacterium. Its description in RNAcentral is "partial 16S ribosomal RNA". It matches the Rfam family "Bacterial small subunit ribosomal RNA", at positions 29 to 506 of the family's 1533-position model. The record is from RNAcentral.